RNAcentral lists this ribosomal RNA (416 nucleotides) under uncultured eukaryote. Its description in RNAcentral is "SSU rRNA". It matches the Rfam family "Eukaryotic small subunit ribosomal RNA", at positions 567 to 990 of the family's 1831-position model. The record is from RNAcentral.
CCAGCAGCUGCGGUAAUUCCAGCUCCAAUAGCGUAUAUUUAAGUUGUUGCAGUUAAAAAGCUCGUAGUUGGAUUUCGGGUGGGUUCUAGCGGUCCGCCUAUGGUGAGUACUGCUAUGGCCUUCCUUUCUGCCGGGGACGGGCUCCUGGGCUUAACUGUCCGGGACUCGGAGUCGGCGAGGUUACUUUGAGUAAAUUAGAGUGUUCAAAGCAAGCCUACGCUCUGAAUACUUUAGAAUGGAAUAACAUGAUAGGACUCUGGCCUAUCUUGUUGGUCUGUAGGAUCGGAGUAAUGAUUAAGAGGGACAGUCGGGGGCAUUUGUAUUUCAUUGUCAGAGGUGAAAUUCUUGGAUUUAUGAAAGACAAACUACUGCGAAAGCAUUUGCCAAGGAUGUUUUCAUUAAUCAAGAACGAAAGU